Long non-coding RNA from Cornus florida, 1445 nucleotides. RefSeq lists it as uncharacterized. NCBI's taxonomy places the organism in Eukaryota, Viridiplantae, Streptophyta, Magnoliopsida, Cornales, Cornaceae. The record is from RefSeq and is a predicted model, not a curated record. The transcript has 3 exons.
CUUUCUCCAGGCCGCUCUCUCCAAAGCCAAGUCGCAAUAGAUUCGCCACUCCAGUCCAAGGUAAGUUCUUCUCCCCUCAAGGAUUUUGAUCGACGGCGGAUCGAAGACGUCGUUGAUGAAGAAUAUACAAGCAGUAGAUCGGCGAUGAAGUGGCCGCAACAGCGAGUAAGGCUCUGCUCGGCAAUGAUGAACACACCCACGCGGAGAUAAGAAGGUAGUCGAGCGAAGAAAAUGAGUGGUAUUUCUUAUGCAAAAGAGGCAGAAAAUAUAGGAACAGCAUAAGACCAAAUAGAGUCACUGGAUCUGGUUUCUGGAAGGCAACUGGGUUCGGCGCAAUGGCUCAAGAGGGCUCAAAUGUGUUCUUUAAUGAUGGAUUGUCUCAGCCGUUACAACUCGACAAGCGAAGAUGAACCACACCGGUGACGCAAGGAUACGGUUGUAAUGGAAGUGCUCGUCGACAACAAGUUUUCCGGCGAGCCAAACCUAGUUUUUUGUAACCCUAACUUUGCUACUGAGAUAUGAGGGAUGAGAGAGAUUGACUGUUUGGUUCAAGAGAUAAAGCUAACAGAGAGUUAUAAAACAUGUUUGGUUCAAGAGAUUGAUUGUUUGGUCAAGGGUAUAUACGAAAACGACAAAAGGGUAAAUUAGUCAUUAUAUUUAUUUAUUUAUUUUUGACAGCCAACAAUGUCUGACCGGAGAUGGGGAGUGUAACUGAAGUUAACCCCUGUUUUUUUUUUUUUUUUUUUUUUUUUUUUUUUUUUUUUUUUUUUUUUUUUUUUUUUUUUUUUUUUGUCUAUUCUGUAAAAGAGAUUCUCUCCUAUCUUUAAUAGGGAUUUUCAUUUAUCUUUAGGCCGUGAUUUAGGGAUGGUCUGUCGGGUUUUAGAUCUAUAUAAUGGAUCUUUAUCUCUAGGUUUAGGCAUCAGUUUUUUAAAGGGAAUUUUUUUUGUACAAUUCCAUGCUUGAGUGUGGUUUGCGGCUUGAAAGCUUUCUGUUCAAGCUUUAAAAACAUGAAUUCACUAAUUGACCUUGUGGAGGUAGUUUGAUAGUACGAUGCUACAUUGAAGGCAAAAAUUACAGUGGAAAUUUUUUUUUGCUCACUGGAUUUAGUGACAUGUUUGGGUUUAUCAGGUGGAGCUAGGAAUUUUGAUUUGGGGAUGAAAUUAUGUAGUUAAAGUUUGAAAAUUUUAGAAAUCAUAUAAUUUACUUUUUUCUUUUAAAAGAAAUGGUAAAAAGGUCAUUGAAUUCAUUAAUGUACUAUCCCUUCAUUUCUAAUGUCAUAAUUAUCCUUUAUAUAAUUUUUUUUUUACCUUCUUUAGUUUAUUUACUAUUUUUUUCCUUUCUAUUUAUUUUUCCCAGAUAUCCUCUCAAAAAAAAUAAUUAUUUCAUACUAAUAAUUUAAUUUUUGAUAGUCAAAAGAAAUAAUUUAUUCUAUAAUGACUUUUUUU